Rhea pennata is the source of this 648-nucleotide long non-coding RNA. RefSeq lists it as uncharacterized. The record is from RefSeq and is a predicted model, not a curated record. NCBI's taxonomy places the organism in Eukaryota, Metazoa, Chordata, Aves, Rheiformes, Rheidae. The transcript is spliced from 4 exons.
GGUGUAGAAACUGUAUGUGACAAAUUAGCGUCGUGAUUGUCGUUGUACCCGCUCGGGUUACGGGCUCAUCGGAAUUAUACAUGUUUUGCAGGACCGGAGCUUCCUGAUGUUCCAGUGAAGAAUCUUCCCGGAAGGGAGUAUGGUGUUCACGAAAGGAGACCUCCUCAGCUCUGCACAGAUCUACUGACUACCCCAGGCCUCUGUACAGUGGUUAUGUGUUUUUUCCAAGAGACUUGGUCUUCUGAACAGUCCUGGUUUUCCCUUGAAGGCAAGAAGGAUGCCAUUUUGCAGAGAAGUGCAGGGAGAAGGAGUGAUUUUCUCUGGACAUCUGUGAUCCCACCACGUGAACUCCAGACCACUCCAGUGAAGCGCGGUUCUACAAGGAGGGAUAAGUAACAUCUCACAGAUCAUGGCCCAUAGCCUUAGAAAGGAUUCAACACCAGUCAGCGACUGAUACGUGUACAUCGCUUAACUAGAAAACACUUUGCUCCAAUCCCAAAUUCACAAAUUCAGCUGCUGUAUUAAAUCAAGAAUGAACUUCAUUAUGAUGGAGAAACAACCAGAAGGUAGGAUCAAAUCUACAGACAAUACAAAAGUGAGAACUUCUUCCCUGUUUAAAAAUUCUUACAUUUAAAAAAUAAGCUUAAU